This is a small nuclear RNA of Lutra lutra (Eurasian river otter), 108 nucleotides long. NCBI's taxonomy places the organism in Eukaryota, Metazoa, Chordata, Mammalia, Carnivora, Mustelidae. The record is from RefSeq and is a predicted model, not a curated record.
GUGCUCGCUUCGGCAGCACAUAUACUAAAAUUGGAACGAUACAGAGAAGAUUAGCAUGGCCCCUGCGCAAAGAUUAUAACCAACUAUCUUGGGCUCUCCCAAUCUGUU